Triticum aestivum (bread wheat) is the source of this 374-nucleotide long non-coding RNA. RefSeq lists it as uncharacterized. NCBI's taxonomy places the organism in Eukaryota, Viridiplantae, Streptophyta, Magnoliopsida, Poales, Poaceae. The transcript is spliced from 2 exons. The record is from RefSeq and is a predicted model, not a curated record.
AAUCGGCAGUUUUUUUAAGAGCUAGGUCUGAGCGAUGCAACACAACGCAUGUGUGGUGGAUGCGGAUGUACGCGUGGGGACACGCGGGAGACGUCGUGUUGUUUCCGGAAGCGGCGCCAUAAAUCCGCGCACCCUUCUCCCAUGGCUCACUCUCUCCUCUCUUCACACUCUCAUCGACGACUGAGCACCGACAGCGAGCAUCGGUGGCAAGAUCGGGACAAAGGGCAACGUCACCUCUCCUUCACACGUCCGGCAAUGGCAAAUGACAAGCUCGUCCUCAACAAUGCAGCUUCAGGGAACUCCUCAAAGGGCAAGAAUGUUUUAUUUGACAAGAAGGGCAAGGUGAUGGUGGAGCUCGCAACGCCCCGAAGAGG